Molecule: long non-coding RNA, 220 nt
Organism: Symphalangus syndactylus (siamang)
Lineage: Eukaryota; Metazoa; Chordata; Mammalia; Primates; Hylobatidae
Source: RefSeq, a predicted model, not a curated record
UUAGGAACAUGACCACCAUGCCCCAGGAAAGCACAGCAGCUCAAGGAGAGGCCCAGGUGGAGAAGAACUGAGGCUUCCGAGGCGAUCCGGCAGUGUCAGUCUUCAGCCACUAAGCUGAGAAGAUCUGGGAAGGAGUCAGAGAGCCUUGGGCCAGAGUUCCAGGGGCUCUGGGAGUGGCUGCCAGGGCUUGGACAAGCUUGUGACCAUUGAAAAGAACAGG